GUGCACCAGGCGCGAAUACUUUACAAUGUGCGAAAGCACGAUAAGGGAACUCUGAGUGCCUCCUAAGGAGGCUGUUCAGGUGUCUAAAAGCACCUGGAGUAAGGGCUGGGUAAGACCGGUGCCAGCCGCCGCGGUAACACCGGCAGCCCAGGUGGUAGCCACUUUUAUUGGGUCUAAAGCGUCCGUAGCCGGUUGAGUAAGUUCCUUGGGAAAUUUGGCUGCUCAACAGUCAAGCUUCCAGGGAAUACUGCUCGACUUGGGACUGGGAGAGGUCAGAGGUACUCCAGGGGUAGGGGUGAAAUCCAUUAAUCCCUGGGGGACCACCGGUAGCGAAGGCGUCUGACCAGACCAGGUCCGACGGUGAGGGACGAAGGCUAGGGUCGCGAACCGGAUUAGAUACCCGUGUAGU
Molecule: ribosomal RNA, 409 nt
Filed under: uncultured microorganism
Description: bacterial SSU rRNA
Rfam family: Archaeal small subunit ribosomal RNA
Source: RNAcentral